GACGAACGCUGGCGGCGUGCCUAAUACAUGCAAGUAGAACGCUGAAGAGAGGAGCUUGCUCUUCUUGGAUGAGUUGCGAACGGGUGAGUAACGCGUAGGUAACCUGCCUGGUAGCGGGGGAUAACUAUUGGAAACGAUAGCUAAUACCGCAUAAAAUUGAUUAUUGCAUGAUAAUUAAUUGAAAGAUGCAAUUGCAUCACUACCAGAUGGACCUGCGUUGUAUUAGCUAGUUGGUGAGGUAACGGCUCACCAAGGCGACGAUACAUAGCCGGCCUGAGAGGGUGAUCGGCCACACUGGGACUGAGACACGGCCCAGACUCCUACGGGAGGCAGCAGUAGGGAAUCUUCGGCAAUGGGGGGAACCCUGACCGAGCAACGCCGCGUGAGUGAAGAAGGUUUUCGGAUCGUAAAGCUCUGUUGUAAGAGAAGAACGGGUGUGAGAGUGGAAAGUUCACACUGUGACGGUAUCUUACCAGAAAGGGACGGCUAACUACGUGCCAGCAGCCGCGGUAAUACGUAGGUCCCGAGCGUUGUCCGGAUUUAUUGGGCGUAAAGCGAGCGCAGGCGGUUAGAUAAGUCUGAAGUUAAAGGCUGUGGCUUAACCAUAGUAUGCUUUGGAAACUGUUUAACUUGAGUGCAGAAGGGGAGAGUGGAAUUCCAUGUGUAGCGGUGAAAUGCGUAGAUAUAUGGAGGAACACCGGUGGCGAAAGCGGCUCUCUGGUCUGUAACUGACGCUGAGGCUCGAAAGCGUGGGGAGCAAACAGG
RNAcentral lists this ribosomal RNA (765 nucleotides) under uncultured Streptococcus sp. RNAcentral's name for it is "bacterial SSU rRNA". It matches the Rfam family "Bacterial small subunit ribosomal RNA", at positions 28 to 776 of the family's 1533-position model. The record is from RNAcentral. Lineage: Bacteria; Bacillati; Bacillota; Bacilli; Lactobacillales; Streptococcaceae.